AACGAACGCUGGCGGCGUGCCUAACACAUGCAAGUCGUGCGAGAAAGUUCCUUCGGGAGCGAGUAAAGCGGCGCACGGGUGAGUAACACGUAGGUAACCUGCCCCCCAGUCUGGAACAACUAGAGGAAACUCUAGCUAAUGCCGGAUGAGACCACGAUCCCUUCGGGGGUUGCGGCCAAAGAUGGCCUCUACUUGUAAGCUAUCGCUGAGGGAUGGGCCUGCGGGCCAUUAGCUUAGUUGGUGAGGUAACGGCUCACCAAGGCUGUGAUGGCUAGCUGGUCUGAGAGGAUGACCAGCCACACUGGGACUGAGACACGGCCCAGACUCCUACGGGAGGCAGCAGUGGGGAAUAUUGCGCAAUGGGCGAAAGCCUGACGCAGCGACGCCGCGUGGGUGAUGAAGGCCU
This 406-nucleotide ribosomal RNA is filed under the name uncultured bacterium. Its description in RNAcentral is "bacterial SSU rRNA". It matches the Rfam family "Bacterial small subunit ribosomal RNA", at positions 29 to 417 of the family's 1533-position model. The record is from RNAcentral.